RNAcentral lists this ribosomal RNA (253 nucleotides) under uncultured bacterium. Its description in RNAcentral is "partial 16S ribosomal RNA". It matches the Rfam family "Bacterial small subunit ribosomal RNA", at positions 524 to 776 of the family's 1533-position model. The record is from RNAcentral.
UACGUAGGUGGCAAGCGUUGUCCGGAUUUACUGGGCGUAAAGAGCGCGCAGGCGGUCGUUCAAGUCGCGUGUGAAAGCCCCCGGCUCAACUGGGGAGGGUCACGCGAUACUGAUCGACUGGGAGGCAGGAGAGGGUAGUGGAGUUCCCGGUGUAGUGGUGAAAUGCGUAGAUAUCGGGAGGAACACCAGUGGCGAAGGCGACUUCCUGGCCUGUUCUUGACGCUGAGGCGCGAAAGCUAGGGGAGCAAACGGG